UAGUACAAUUUAUAUACUUUAAAUAAAAUACUCUUUGAAGAUUUUUUGUAAAUUACAUUUUAUAUUAAUUUAAGUCUAAAUAAAAGUUACUUUAAUUAUUGCCAGGUUGUGUAUUUUUGCAGGUCAAUUAUUUGGCACAAAUCGGAGUUAAAGACAAAGGAGAUUGUAUAUUUUAUUUGCUAAGAAUAGUUUUUUAAAAUGGCCUAGUUGUAAAAUUAAACUAUGCAGGGAGAGGACAAAAAAUUGGAAUAGAAAAAAUGUUGAUUGCAUAUGCUGCUAUUGAAACUGUAAAGUCAAAUAGGCAUGGCUUAUGCAGACAUGUGAUAGAGAUAGA
Hydra vulgaris (swiftwater hydra) is the source of this 334-nucleotide non-coding RNA. The record is from RefSeq and is a predicted model, not a curated record. NCBI's taxonomy places the organism in Eukaryota, Metazoa, Cnidaria, Hydrozoa, Anthoathecata, Hydridae.